RNAcentral lists this ribosomal RNA (305 nucleotides) under marine bacterium SIMO IS-S76-231. RNAcentral's name for it is "bacterial SSU rRNA". It matches the Rfam family "Bacterial small subunit ribosomal RNA", at positions 32 to 363 of the family's 1533-position model. Lineage: Bacteria; Pseudomonadati; Pseudomonadota; Alphaproteobacteria. The record is from RNAcentral.
GACGCUGGCGGCAGGCUUACACAUGCAAGUCGAGCGAAGACUUCGGUCUUAGCGGCAGACGGGUGAGUAACGCGUGGGAAUCUACCCAUCCCUACGGAAUCGCUCCGGGAAACUGGAAUUAAUACCGUAUACGCCCUUCGGGGGAAAGAUUUAUCGGGGAUGGAUGAGCCCGCGUUGGAUUAGCUAGUUGGUGGGGUAAAAGCCUACCAAGGCGACGAUCCAUAGCCUGGUCUGAGAGGAUGAUCAGCCACAUUGGGACUGAGACACGGCCCAUACUCCUACGGNGAGGCAGCCANUGGGGAAUA